UGGGGAAUAUUGGACAAUGGGCGCAAGCCUGAUCCAGCAAUGCCGCGUGGGUGAAGACGGCCUGCGGGUUGUAAAGCCCUUUAAGCGGGGAGGAACGCCGGGGUGCAAAUAGCGCCUUGGACUGACGUUACCCGCAGAAUAAGCACCGGCUAACUCCGUGCCAGCAGCCGCGGUAAUACGGGGGGUGCGAGCGUUAAUCGGAAUGACUGGGCGUAAAGCGUGCGUAGGCGGUGUAAUCAGUCAGCCGUGAAAGCCCCGGGCUUAACCUGGGAAUGGCGGUUGAGACGGUUAGACUCGAGUGGGCUAGAGGACUGUGGAACUCCCGGUGUAGCGGUGAAAUGCGUAGAGAUCGGGAAGAACACCGAUGGCGAAGGCAGCAGUCUGGGGCCACACUGACGCUGAGGCACGACGGCGUGGGGAGCAAACA
This 427-nucleotide ribosomal RNA is filed under the name uncultured Gammaproteobacteria bacterium. RNAcentral's name for it is "uncultured gamma proteobacterium partial 16S ribosomal RNA". It matches the Rfam family "Bacterial small subunit ribosomal RNA", at positions 355 to 774 of the family's 1533-position model. The record is from RNAcentral. Lineage: Bacteria; Pseudomonadati; Pseudomonadota; Gammaproteobacteria.